RNAcentral lists this unclassified non-coding RNA (294 nucleotides) under uncultured Phycisphaeraceae bacterium. RNAcentral describes it as "contains 16S-23S intergenic spacer region". Lineage: Bacteria; Pseudomonadati; Planctomycetota; Phycisphaerae; Phycisphaerales; Phycisphaeraceae. The record is from RNAcentral.
UUGGACUACUGGGGUUUCUAAUCCUGUUUGCUCCCCACGCUUUCGUACAUGAGCGUCAGAACAGGCCCAGUCAGCUGCCUUCGCCAUUGGCGUUCCCAUGAAUAUCUACGCAUUUCACCGCUCCACUCAUGGUUCCACUGACCCCUACCUGCCUCAAGCCCUGUGGUUCACCGUGCAGUUCCCCGGUUAAGCCGGGGGAUUUCACACGAUGCCUUCAGGGCCGCCUGCGUACGCUUUAAGCCCAGUGAUUCCGAUUAACGCUCGGGCCCUCUGUAUUACCGCGGCUGCUGACAC